Molecule: ribosomal RNA, 468 nt
Filed under: uncultured bacterium
Lineage: Bacteria
Description: partial 16S ribosomal RNA
Rfam family: Bacterial small subunit ribosomal RNA
Source: RNAcentral
GACGAACGCUGGCGGCGUGCUUAACACAUGCAAGUCGAACGGAAAGGCCCUGCUUUUGUGGGGUGCUCGAGUGGCGAACGGGUGAGUAACACGUGAGUAACCUGCCCUUGACUUUGGGAUAACUUCAGGAAACUGGGGCUAAUACCGGAUAGGAGCUCCUGCUGCAUGGUGGGGGUUGGAAAGUUUCGGCGGUUGGGGAUGGACUCGCGGCUUAUCAGCUUGUUGGUGGGGUAGUGGCUUACCAAGGCUUUGACGGGUAGCCGGCCUGAGAGGGUGACCGGCCACAUUGGGACUGAGAUAGGACCCAGACUCCUACGGGGGGCAGCAGUGGGGAAUAUUGCACAAUGGGCGGAAGCCUGAUGCAGCAACGCCGCGUGCGGGAUGACGGCCUUCGGGUUGUAACCCGCUUUCGCCUGUGACGAAGCGUGAGUGACGGUAAUGGGUAAAGAAGCACCGGCUAACUACGUG